UUCUCAGCUUAAACAGAAUAUCUAUCCAGCACUUGAAACUAUUUUUUUCAUCAAAUUAGCAUGAAGUUUUAUACUUUACAGAAGUUUCAUUCAUUACUGUGCAGUCAAGUACUUGGAUUUAUUCUGAACAUGAAUUGAAAUUGAUCAAGAACCAGAUUUCAGAUUGUGGUAAUGAAUGUGAAAACAGAUGAAUUAAAGUGUAUAGCUACAACCUGCUGAAAGAUGUUUUGCUGAUACAUGUGAUAUGGGAUAUUUGGAACUAAAAUUGUUUUUGUAAAAAUAUCAUUAUUUGAAUGGAAUUAUUUCAAACAAGUGUAUUAAAAUCUGUGAUGACAGUUUGUAAAUCUGAUUCAUCCAGUUCAACUAAAUUAAUGCUAAGAUUCUCAAAUUCAAGAAAAAUGUCAUUAAAUGUCAUAUUAUCAGAGUCAGUGUCUGAUUCGGAGUCGUAAAGGUGUUCAACUAGGGUUUUCUCGUUGGGUUGUUGGAUAUUUGCAUCACCUGAAGGUAACAUUGUAGGGCUAUUUGAAUUUAAACAAGACUGUCCACAUUUACAUCCAGGACCACAUGACUUUUUUUGCUUUCUACAUCCACACUGAUUGCCACUACAAUUAGAUUUUAAACACCCACACCCAGCUGUCCAUAAUUUUAUAUUGUUUGAUAUUUUUUCUAAAUUUUCAUCAGAGUCCCAAACAAUGCUUAGUACAUUUUUUUCAAUCUUCCAUCCAUGGUCAUUCAAAAUUGGAUAAUGCACAAAAUUUUGAUUAGCUUGCUGCCAUACAAGUUUAACCCAUCAAGAUCUUUUCCAGUGUAAGAAUAAGGCAUCAUUUGAUGGCAGGAAAAAUUCUUCAGAUGGAACUCGACAGUACAGUGCAUCUCUAAUUUUUGAAAGCCAAAUAAAGUGAUUUUCUAACGGGCUUAAUGUUUCUACAAAAACAGAUUGAAAUAAAUAAUGAGGAGAUUCGAUCCUAUCCUUUAAGAAGGCAGAGGAACAUUUCCUCCAAUAUUCACACCCAACUAAACGUAAAAAAGCAAGAAAUCCUUCAUUUUCUGUGUUAUCACUAUCACUUAAUAUUCCCAACCACCCCUUUACAAAAUUAUUAGAAGUAAUAAAAUCUGGAUAUUUGAAAAACAUCUGAUAGAAAGAAGUUUUACCAUGGUCCCAAAAAAAAGAUACAUAAUCACAUCCAGUAACAAUAUACAACAUCUGAAAAAUUGAUGGUAUAUUGUCAUGAAUGUCGUUUGAAAUGCAUUGUAAAUCUGGAUCAUUUUUCAUGGAAUGAAUAAGCUUAUUCAUGUUUAAAUAUAUGACAUCCUUCUUAAAAGUAAGUUGAACAAAAACCUGUUUGUCUAAAGUUUGUAUAAAUGGUAAACCAAUGUUGUAUGUGUCAUUGUCUGGCGAAUUAAUAAGCACAGUAUCACACAAAGUUUUUUCAGCGUGUAACCAUACUCGACUGUCCCCCUCUGAUAUAUUAGUUUGAAAAUUCUUGAUUAUUCUUAUCUCAUUUUGGACAACACAUUUUGAUAUAGACGAAUUGUCAAAACCACCACCAACUACAAAUGUUUGACUUAAUUUGAUUGCAUUUUGUGAAAGUAAUAAAAACUGUUCACUUAUUAAUAAAACCAGUUGUUUUUUGUUGUU
Mytilus californianus (California mussel) is the source of this 1639-nucleotide long non-coding RNA. RefSeq lists it as uncharacterized. The record is from RefSeq and is a predicted model, not a curated record. Lineage: Eukaryota; Metazoa; Mollusca; Bivalvia; Mytilida; Mytilidae. The transcript has 2 exons.